UACGGAGGGUGCGAGCGUUGUCCGGAAUCACUGGGCGUAAAGGGCGCGUAGGCGGCUCAUGAAGGCUGUGGUGAAAGUCCGGGGCUCAACCUCGGAUCGGCCGUGGCGACUCGUGGGCUGGAGCACUGUAGAGGCGGGUGGAAUUCCGGGUGUAGCGGUGGAAUGCGUAGAGAUCCGGAAGAACACCAGUGGCGGAGGCGGCCCGCUGGGCAGUGGCUGACGCUGAAGCGCGACAGCGUGGGGAGCAAACAGG
This 253-nucleotide ribosomal RNA is filed under the name uncultured bacterium. Its description in RNAcentral is "partial 16S ribosomal RNA". It matches the Rfam family "Bacterial small subunit ribosomal RNA", at positions 524 to 776 of the family's 1533-position model. The record is from RNAcentral.